UGAUACCAGUGAACCCUAAAAAUGAGGUUGAAAAACACUUGGAAACAGUGAUGCAUCCAUGUUCAAUUCCUGACUUCAGCUUUUCCUUCCCUGCCUUGUCACACUCCUAACUCAUGGAACAAAACAAACACAAUCAGCUUUGACCAACAAAGCCGUGUGUUGAGACUGUGCCGAGAAAUCCAGUGAAGUGUCUGCAACGGCAACGAGAUCAGAGCAGAGGAGAGGAGGCUGUGGAUAUUUGUGCAACUGUGUGUGGUUCAGCCUUCCUGUGCCUGCGUGUGUGUGUGAGAGAGGGAGAGACUUGGGAGCAUUUCCAGCCUACAGCAGUGGAGUCUGAGCAAAAGCACAAGUUCAUCCUCUUCCAUUGGACCCACGGCAAACUGGACGAUACAGCAUCGAUACGAGAGGUCUUCAUGGAGGAACAAUCUUCAGCUUCCUGCUCGCAGAGAUCUGGUCAGACUUGUCCAGCUUCACAAAGACCCCAGACUGCUAAAAAGAAAAAGGUUGAUUUUCAUGAAGAUCUUCAAACAGUAGGUGUCAUGUAUUUUAAUUCUUGGUGUAUCCAAAUUGGUGUAUCUUUCUCUUCUCCUUUCCAUUUGUCAAAUAACUGAGGGUUGUACAUAGAACAUCAGCCACAGUUUGUGUUCUGCUUGUUACUGGUUGAACUUACAGUGUCCACUUUUUUGGGUGGUCUCAAUAUGCAAGAUGUUAAUCUGGUCCAUAUUUUUAAUUUUUGGGGGGCUACCGUGUUGGCCUCAUUAGGUGCAGAGUAGGGGAAUAUACAACCUACAACAUCUGGUGUCUUGAUUGUGAAGGUCAUCUUAAGUACUUGGUUGUUGGCAGCUGAUUUGCUAAUCCAGUUGCCCAUAGCUAACUACUGAAGAUUAAAUGUCUGCAUAUAAAAGUAAAGUAAAUCAACACAAACCAGUUCCAUGAAAAGGUCACUCACUGACAAACAAUGUCCUCUUCCUGGUGGCUUAAAGUAGUUUCAGGAACCAAAAAGGUUGUAAAUCUUUAAAUGGCAAGUGCCUUCUCUAUGGGCACAAUUUAGGCAGCUUGUGAAGUCAUUAGGAUGAUGCUUAAUCCUAAUGUCUUGGUUGGUUCCAUGAGAAAUGGCAAUCUCCCAGGUGUGUUGGUAAACUUCCUUCUGAUUUUGUAGCCUUGCCCUAAAGUUUCUGUACUUUAACUCUUGUUGAGCUAAGCAUUAAAUGAUUCCUCCAACUUGUCUCCAGAACUAAUUUUCUCUCCAUGCAGCCUUCCAACACCAACUGCUGCUGUUGUCACAUCACAGGUAGCUUUACCGUGAUUCACUGCAUCAUCAUGUGUUGGGUAAUUUGUGUCAUUAGACUACUGACAAAGCUGAAGCCUUAAAAUGCUUGAUCUAAUUUACCCAAAUGGUUUAUCAGUUUACUCAACAAAAUCUUUGCAUUACACAUUCUCGGGGUCAGUAACCUGACAUCUAAACCUUUGGGUCAUGCAAAAGAUCGCAAGCUCUUUGCAUGACCCAACAGAAUCAGUAUUUGAGCCACUUUAUUGCUCAAUUUGUAAAUCAAUGUGGAUUUAAUGAGCUCGUUCUCCUUCACACGUUAGAAGGUAAAUUGAGUCGACUCGUAAGAUGGUGAGGCCUUUUGUCCUUCCCCUUCUCUCUGUGAGGAAAUCUGGCCACAAAUCCUGACUGAGUGGCAUACCAUAACUGUGCAGUUUCCAAAAUCAGACAAGGAUCCAUCUGGUUUUGUGACUCAGCCUAUCAUGGUAUGCAUUUAUGUUCCUCCAACCAUUGGAACAUGUUAUGUAAGUCACUUGUAGACAAAUUGAAGCAUUUGGUCAAAUUGUGUUCAAGCAUUUUCUGGUGUCUGCUCUGUCAAUAGUCUUGUGCAUCAUCUGGCUAAACGCAUAAGAAGCUCUGAAUUGUGAAACUGUUGCCUCUUGCUGACGUUACGACGACAGCAAUGGUGUUGGAAGGCUGCAGGGUGAGUAAAUGAGAUCCGAUGACAGGAAAGCGUAAUUGAUUUCAUGCUUUGCAAAAUGAAAGUGUAAGCAAAUAAACUUUGUGGUGAAGUGACAGAAUUGGGAGAAUUUGUCUGGGCAACUGAGAGACUUGCAGUUUUUCAUGAAGCCAACAAAGACAUUGGGGUUAGUGUCAUCCCUAAUGGCUAGCAAGCUAAAGUAAAAUGAGUGGACAUCUGCUUUUACAAAAGACAUCUACAGGACAUGAAGCUUGGUGUUCUGAUAUUGAAUUGUGGUUGAAGGCAGGCGUAGCUUAGCAAACUGCCAGUGUAGAACAGGAAAGGCAGGUGAAGAUUGGGGAGGGCAUCCAUCCGUGGGCCUUGACUGGAUGUGAGAAGACCAUCACAUUUGACCAGGUGAGUUGUCUCGGCAUUUUUGUCAUUUGUUUUAGCUUUUAUCUUAUGACUUACCAAAUUCUACCUUGUUUUGAGGAGCUGAAGGCUGCAGCAGAUUCCUGCAUCAGAGGACUCCAUGUUGGACACCAUAACCUGGAGAAGUCUUGUCCUCACUGUGGUGAGUACCUUGUUCAAGGUGAACCAACGCUUCUGAUGCUUCUUUGCCACAGAUGUUGGACCUUAAGGACCAGAGCCUACCAAGCUGUACAUCACUCAAUCACACAAUCUGACUCGUGCAUCAAAGGUUUUGUUCCAAAGUGCUGUAAAACAAAUUAUAGUACUGUAUUUGAGUACAAUGAACUAGAGAAGGUAUCACCAACGUAACUGGAAUUUGAUGUUAAAGCUGACUUGUCUCGCUCUGCCAAGUUUAGUUCUCGACUUGAACCUUUGUGUUCAUAAAGCCUUUUUGCGCGUCAUGUUGGGAGGCCUCCCAGCAGGGGAUUUCCAUUAUCCCCUGCAAAACCAUGCGUUCAUGUCUUGUGUGAUAUCGUAUAGGAUAGAGUUUCAUACUUGGGAUUGGUUGUGGGAUUAGUGCGUUUCAGUUCUUUAGGAGAAAACAAACGUGGCAGAGAGACAACUCGGGUUAUUUAACCGAAAGUUACACCAAAUUUGACACCCAACAGGACAUGGUCACAUGUUUUGUUUUUUUAAAUAGACUUUGCCACCUAAAGCCAGAUAAUAUAGACUGUGCUUUCUGUAAUGACAUUGUAGAUUUGUACUGUAUUUAUUGCCCUCUUUAUAUCGAGUAAAACAUAUUUCUCUUAACUGGCUUUGACUGGUAUAUUUUCCAAAGUUUUUUUUCUUAAAGAUGUGGAAUUCUUUAUCAACAAAUUUCAUAACAUGUUACUGUAGACUGUGUACUUUGACACUGCCUCAAGUGUCAGCUUUAUCUCAAACAAUGUACACCAUUUGUCAUUUAUAGUUGAAGUAAAACUUCAAAUGGACAGGACUUAAAAUGUUCCCUUUUUUUAAAAAAAGGGAGAACUAGGUCGAUUAUUUUUAUUUGGUAUUUAUUUUAACAGUAGAAUGCCAAACCUUCAGCUAAGGCAGAUUACUAAAGCAUUUCUAAAUUAACCACAAUACCGAGAUAGUUUCAGUCCCUGGCUUCUCCUGUUUUGAAUCCCCCAUUGUCACUUGUGUGAACUAACAACUUCAACAAUAUCACUUUGCAUAGUGUGGGUUGCACAGCAACUCAACAACUCAAAUAUUGACAGUUUGACAAAUAGUGAAAGGAAUAAUUUAAUGAUCUGUGUCAGUGUUGGUUUGUAUUUUCACACCUGUAUCUGACGCCAAUUGUUUGCAAUCCUUGACGCAAAAACAUUUUAUUCCAAUUACUGAUUCAUUUUUUUUUUUAUUUGUUUGCAACUCAGUUUUUCAAAACUA
This is a long non-coding RNA of Solea senegalensis (Senegalese sole), 3785 nucleotides long. RefSeq lists it as uncharacterized. Lineage: Eukaryota; Metazoa; Chordata; Actinopteri; Pleuronectiformes; Soleidae. The transcript has 7 exons. The record is from RefSeq and is a predicted model, not a curated record.